This 384-nucleotide ribosomal RNA is filed under the name Ozirhincus longicollis. Its description in RNAcentral is "partial 12S ribosomal RNA". Lineage: Eukaryota; Metazoa; Arthropoda; Insecta; Diptera; Cecidomyiidae. The record is from RNAcentral.
UAUUAUUAAUUUUUAUAAAUAUUAUUAAUAAUUAGAUUUUAAUGAAAAUUAAAUAAUUUGGCAGUAUUUUUUAGAAUUAGAGGAUUUUGUUAAAUAAUAGAUAAUACACUUUAAAAUUUAUUUAAUUUUAUUUUAUUGUAUAUUGUUGUCUUUAGUUAAUUUUAAGAAAAUAUUAAUUAAUAUUAUUAUUAUUAAUUUAAGUCAAAUCAACAUGCAUAUUAUAAUUAAAAUUUAAAUGAAAUACAUUUUAUUUAUAAAUAUGGAUUUAAAUUUGUAAUAAUUUAUUAAAAUUGGAUUUAAAAGUAAAAUUUAAUAAAUUUUAAAUUUGAAUUUAAUUAAAAAUAUGUACAAAUUGCCCGUCGUUUUUAAUUUAUAUUAAAAUAA